RNAcentral lists this ribosomal RNA (253 nucleotides) under uncultured bacterium. Its description in RNAcentral is "partial 16S ribosomal RNA". It matches the Rfam family "Bacterial small subunit ribosomal RNA", at positions 524 to 776 of the family's 1533-position model. The record is from RNAcentral.
UACGGGGGGGGUAAGCGUUGUUCGGAAUUACUGGGCGUAAAGCGCACGUAGGCGGAUUGUUAAGUCGGGGGUGAAAUCCUGGAGCUCAACUCCAGAAUUGCCUUCGAUACUGGCUUUCUAGAGGCUGGAAGAGGUUAGUGGAAUUCCCAGUGUAGAGGUGAAAUUCGUAGAUAUUGGGAAGAACACCAGUGGCGAAGGCGGCUAACUGGUCCAGAUCUGACGCUGAGGUGCGAAAGCGUGGGGAGCAAACAGG